Molecule: ribosomal RNA, 406 nt
Filed under: uncultured bacterium
Lineage: Bacteria
Description: partial 16S ribosomal RNA
Rfam family: Bacterial small subunit ribosomal RNA
Source: RNAcentral
AUUGAACGCUGGCGGCAGGCUUAACACAUGCAAGUCGAGCGAGCGGCGGACGUGUGAGUCAUGUCUGGGAAACUGCCUGAUGGCGGGGGAUAACUACUGGAAACGGUAGCUAAUACCGCAUCCCAUCAGAUGUGCCCAGAUGGGAUUAGCUAGUAGGUGGGGUAAAGGUUCACCUAGGCGACGAUCCCUAGCUGGUCUGAGAGGAUGACCAGCCACACUGGAACGGAGACACGGUCCAGACUCCUACGGGAGGCAGCAGGGGGGAAGAUUGGACAAUGGGCGAAAGCCGGAUGCAGCCAUGCCGCGUGUGUGAAGAAGGCCUUCGGGUUGUAAAGUACUUUCAGCGGGGAGGCGUUACCAGCAGAAGAAGCACCGGCUAACUCCGUGCCAGCAGCCGCGGUAAUUC